UGACGAAAUUAAAACUCCACAAAUUAUGAAAGACAGGGACACUGUUCUCACAAAAAGUUAUUUUUUUAAAGUUAAAGUUAUCUCUUUAGAAAUAACAUCUUUCAAUAAUGUUGUGUUUCAUGUGGCAGCAAGCAGAGAGAUGUUGAAUGAAGGAUACGGAAAGAUUAUCAACGCUGCCGCCAUGGCCGGUCUAAUAGAGGCACUUCCAGGUCUUCUUACAGUAAAGCAGGAAACUCAAGUGUUGUGAUUGCAUCUUGCCAAGGCAGGUUUGCAUCAUAAUAAACAUCCCCUCUAUGCUGAGCUGUUUGGAGGAUGUGGAAGCCAACCUGAGGUCCAACUUGGGAAGUGAGGCUUCCUGUGCAACGGCAAGAGCCCAACCCGUGCUAGAAGCCUUGUUUGAACAGCGGAAGACAUUUUUGGAGUUUAGUAAGAGCUGUUAAAAGCUAGCUCAGUGUAAAAUGUUUCUCCUCCAACAGGUUUCCUCCAGAGGAACAGCAACACUUCAUCAGCAUUUUAGUCAAAUUGCCAGUAAACUGCUGUGCCAUAUGGGCCCCACUCCUGACUGCAGGGGCAAUCUGUUUAACAGGACCAUGCUGGUAAAUAGAGGCCAGCGCAAGGGGGGUGAAAAAAAAUGAUCAAUUACUCACAUUAUGCACAGUCCUUCAGGAAUUUACUUUAUUGGUCUCGACAUCUGUUUUAAUAUUGUCAUAAUGUAUAAUCAGAUGGGGCCUGUUUCAGCCAAGUGUAAGCCCAAAAACCAGCCAUUAAAGCCCAAUUAAAAUGCACAAUGACA
This is a long non-coding RNA of Syngnathoides biaculeatus (alligator pipefish), 793 nucleotides long. RefSeq lists it as uncharacterized. NCBI's taxonomy places the organism in Eukaryota, Metazoa, Chordata, Actinopteri, Syngnathiformes, Syngnathidae. The record is from RefSeq and is a predicted model, not a curated record. The transcript is spliced from 3 exons.